CAAAAAAUAGUUUAAUAAAAAUAUUAAUUUUGGAAAUUAAAGAUAAUUUAAAAUAAUUUUUUUUGA
This 66-nucleotide transfer RNA is filed under the name Meteorus sp. 2 XHS-2023a. RNAcentral describes it as "tRNA-Pro". The record is from RNAcentral. Lineage: Eukaryota; Metazoa; Arthropoda; Insecta; Hymenoptera; Braconidae.